CGAGCGCUGGACGUCACAGUUACACGCUGACGGGAAAACAGGAAAAAAUGUUACUGCUGGAUCACAUCUGGAAAACCGUCACAGCACAAAAAGUGUAAUUAAAAGGCGUCGGUGGGCUGCCUGUGGUAGAAACCUCUCACGCAGUCCUCACAGUGCCGUCCCUUCGUGUUGUUCACGCACUUCAGGCAUUCGCCGCUGUUGCGGUCGCAGCUUCCCAGCACUCUGACGUCGAUGUGACCAUUACAGUGGCAGGGUGUGCAGGGACGCUGCACACCUCCGGUACCCAGGGGGUCGCCAUAAUAACCUUCCUGACAAACGUCACAGCGAGGACCUGAGGACAGAGACACACAGUCAGAGGUUCCUGAUGGGCACCUCUCGCAGCGAGGCUCCAGAGAACCUGGACCCAGUGAGCAGGACACGCCGUCCGCGCAGGGACACCUCACGCAGGUCUCCGGCCACCUCGGGUCUCUGUAGAAGCCCUGGGAAC
This is a long non-coding RNA of Haplochromis burtoni (Burton's mouthbrooder), 487 nucleotides long. RefSeq lists it as uncharacterized. Lineage: Eukaryota; Metazoa; Chordata; Actinopteri; Cichliformes; Cichlidae. The transcript has 3 exons. The record is from RefSeq and is a predicted model, not a curated record.